RNAcentral lists this unclassified non-coding RNA (627 nucleotides) under Hevea brasiliensis (rubber tree). The record is from RNAcentral. Lineage: Eukaryota; Viridiplantae; Streptophyta; Magnoliopsida; Malpighiales; Euphorbiaceae.
UUUUUAUUUGAUAAUAAAUUCUAGCAUUUCAAUGUGCUUUGAACACUUUAAUGUCUAGUACUUUUAGUUAUCUCCUUUCACUUUUCUCAAAUUAGUUCUUUUUUCUCUCUUAGUUGGUGGCCUUUUUUCUUGUUUUAUCUUUUUUCUUAUUACGGACUAGCCUCGAGAAAGGUGCCAUUUGGAUUUGUGCAGUACACAGUAAAUCAUUUUUUUGUUGACCCCUUCUUCCAAGAAAUGGAACUUACAGGGUGUGAGCUUGGGAAUUCAUUGUAUAGAUUCAUCUCCUUGUUGUUGAAUAUAGAAUUGUGGUUAUGCGUAAGUUUGGUGUGCUCUUGACACAACCUGUUUCCAGCAUUAGAGAUCCAAGAUGUGAGCUGUUGGUGCUUCUCUAUAUUGAAUUUCUUUCUUCUAUAAACCAAAAGAAAAUGUGUUAUGUUGAAUAUGCGUCCAGGUGAUUGCAUAUGCUUGGACAUGCUUUUAGGAAUCUUGUCAGUGUUUGUGAUAUCAUGCUGCAUAUUGUCAACUUUCUGGUGAGUUGUACAAGCAACCAAGUGAAGGAAGGAAAAAAAUAUAUAUAUAUAUAUAACAAAAAGCACCAACCAGAUAGGUUCCUUUAUCCCAACUCAA